AGCCUUCUGUAUACGUUUUGAGAUUUCGUUAAACACCAGACCACAAGGGCUGACGAGACUCCCAAGAUAAGUGAAGCG
MicroRNA precursor from Schistosoma mansoni, 78 nucleotides. It matches the Rfam family "mir-3492 microRNA precursor family". Lineage: Eukaryota; Metazoa; Platyhelminthes; Trematoda; Strigeidida; Schistosomatidae. The record is from Rfam.